This 458-nucleotide ribosomal RNA is filed under the name Bacillus cereus. RNAcentral describes it as "bacterial SSU rRNA". It matches the Rfam family "Bacterial small subunit ribosomal RNA", at positions 349 to 797 of the family's 1533-position model. The record is from RNAcentral. Lineage: Bacteria; Bacillati; Bacillota; Bacilli; Caryophanales; Bacillaceae.
CAGCAGUAGGGAAUCUUCCGCAAUGGACGAAAGUCUGACGGAGCAACGCCGCGUGAGUGAUGAAGGCUUUCGGGUCGUAAAACUCUGUUGUUAGGGAAGAACAAGUGCUAGUUGAAUAAGCUGGCACCUUGACGGUACCUAACCAGAAAGCCACGGCUAACUACGUGCCAGCAGCCGCGGUAAUACGUAGGUGGCAAGCGUUAUCCGGAAUUAUUGGGCGUAAAGCGCGCGCAGGUGGUUUCUUAAGUCUGAUGUGAAAGCCCACGGCUCAACCGUGGAGGGUCAUUGGAAACUGGGAGACUUGAGUGCAGAAGAGGAAAGUGGAAUUCCAUGUGUAGCGGUGAAAUGCGUAGAGAUAUGGAGGAACACCAGUGGCGAAGGCGACUUUCUGGUCUGUAACUGACACUGAGGCGCGAAAGCGUGGGGAGCAAACAGGAUUAGAUACCUGGGGUAGUCCC